Long non-coding RNA from Amphiprion ocellaris (clown anemonefish), 1495 nucleotides. Lineage: Eukaryota; Metazoa; Chordata; Actinopteri; Pomacentridae. The record is from Ensembl.
AGAGCCAGGUUCUGCUCAAGGUUUCUUCCCUGUUAAAAGGGUGUUUUUCUUGCCACUGUCGCCUUAGGCCUUGCUCUGGGGGUUCAGGCAUAGCGUUGGCAACACUUAAACCAUCGUUCCAGUUUCAAGCAAAUUGAAUAAGUGCUGUGGUAUGACUGUCUUUUGGCUGCAGGUUCUGGGUCAGUCCUGCAUUUUUCACCAGUUUGUAUCCACAGUUUUCAGAGCAGGUUUCAUCUGUACAGUAUUUAAGAGUCUAAACAGGAGUUUCAACUAAAUCCACAGUUAAACUGAAAUAAUAAACACUUCAGCUGGGCUCUAAAAAGUUAUUCAAGGGACCUAUAGUCUGUCAAAAAAAAAUGCAUGGCUACGAGAUAAAAAUUCAUUUCUUCCGAUUUAGAUCAACCUUUUAGAGUGACACCUGAGGAGAUCACCUGUCCCAGCAGGAUCGGCUGGGCCUCGCAGCGAUGGACAAAGCUGGAAAGCUGGUUUUUCUGGCCACCGAGGGCGACCACCUGCAGUUUACCAGAGAGUGGUUCAAUGCCAACCUGCUGCCUUACUUACGCUAGAGCACGUCUGCAUGCCCAUGGAUUAUUUCAACAUUGUACAUUUUCAUAGCUGCACUUGAUUUAAGAGCAAUAUAAUGGAGGUUAUGGGUAAACUGGAAAACGUGUGCAGACAGCACAUGAUUCCUUCCUUUUGCCCUGAUCACUUCAUGACAGUCGAUUCUUGUUUUGUGAUGCCAUAUUAAUAUGAUCAGGUUGUUAGUAUGUUAGCUUACUCCUGUACUACCACUACUGGGCUGUUAAUGUCAUUUUAAAUGUGAGCUGCUCUGAUGAGGUCAACUGUUGGCAGAAAUAUUGUUUUGUUUUUUUUGUUUUGUUUUUUUUUUUGUAAAGGUUUUAGAAUAAGAAAAGGCCUAAAAUAAAUCAUUUUACUGUAAAAUGAUGCUUCUGUACAUAUUAUGCAUUUCAUCCAAUAAAGAUGCCAAGAAAAAGAUCUCUUGACUAAUGAGCAGAUUUCUGUUUUCAAAAAAGUUUUUAUUUCAAAGACAAAUGUACCAAUGCAAAAAUGUUAACAUGAAAAUUGGACAGAAAGAGCUAAGAUGUAAAAAAAAUGUCCAUUUUGUCUAAAUGUGUGGUCUUUAACUGCAGCCAGCUAACUAGUGACGGAAUAUUACAGCGUACAGGUGAACUAGUGAAGGCCGAACGUCCACCAGUUGAGUUUGUUUGGGUCUUCCUGGCCUUACUGGUGAGGGGGAAAAAAAAGGUACUAAUUAAGUAACGCGUGCCAAAACGUCCAUUACUUACAUUAGUGGGGAUGUUUGGACCUUAUUAGGUUAAUUAGCAAACCUCAGUGUGUUCCCUAGUAGAAGCCAAAGUGUUUAUUUUAUCAUUUUUGAAGUGGUCUGCCGGAGUGGCACAGCUUGCAGAAUGUUACAGAGUUCAAAGACGGGCAGGGGCGGAGCCAAUGGAUGAGCAUUCCAUGGGUGUGUGUG